AUCUCUGUAGAGUCUGCAUAUCAAUAAGCGGAGGAAAAGAAACUAACUAGGAUUCCCUUAGUAACGGCGAGUGAAGCGGGAAGAGCUCAAAUUUGAAGUCUUCAAGGUCUUACCUUGACGAAUUGUAGUUUAAAGAAGUGUUUUCUGUUGGUGUUUUGGUAAAAGUUCUUUGGAAUAGGACAUCAUAGAGGGUGAGAAUCCCGUAUUUGACCAUUACUUCCAGCGUUGUGAUACACUUUCAAAGAGUCGGAUUGUUUGGGAAUGCAGUCCAAAAUGGGUGGUAAAUUUCAUCUAAAGCUAAAUAUUGGCGAGAGACCGAUAGCGAACAAGUACCGUGAGGGAAAGAUGAAAAGAACUUUGAAAAGAGAGUUAAACAGUACGUGAAAUUGUCAAAAGGGAAGCGUUUGACACCAGUGUUGUUUUCUCGAAAAUCAAUUAAAAAAAGUUGGAUUUUGUAUUGUUAAGACCUUAUCAGCUUACUGUACUCUUUUCUUGCUUUUUUUAAUGCACUUUUCGUUUAACAAGUCAACAUCAAUUUCUUUUGUUGUAAAAGAGUCAUUGGAAGGUGGCUUUCACUUCGGUGAAAGUGUUUAUAGCCUUUGGCUUCUGCAAUCGGAGAGAUUGAGGUCUGCAGCGUAGAUCCUUCGGGGCUAGAUACGUAGAUGCUAAGUUAUAGUUUUUUAUAGACAACUUGUUGACUAUAAUUAAUCAUGUAGCUUACUCGUUUGCGCUAUUUUACCUACGCUUAGGAUGUUGAAGAUGUAGCACAUCAU
RNAcentral lists this ribosomal RNA (773 nucleotides) under uncultured Neocallimastigales. Its description in RNAcentral is "partial large subunit ribosomal RNA". It matches the Rfam family "Eukaryotic large subunit ribosomal RNA", at positions 24 to 635 of the family's 3401-position model. The record is from RNAcentral. Lineage: Eukaryota; Fungi; Neocallimastigomycota; Neocallimastigomycetes; Neocallimastigales.